CGGAGGAGUACGAAGGUGCGCUCAGACCGGUCGGAAAUCGGUCGUAGAGUAUAAAGGCAAAAGCGCGCUUGACUGCGAGACAGACACGUCGAGCAGGUACGAAAGUAGGUCAUAGUGAUCCGGUGGUUCUGUAUGGAAGGGCCAUCGCUCAACGGAUAAAAGGUACUCCGGGGAUAACAGGCUGAUACCGCCCAAGAGUUCAUAUCGACGGCGGUGUUUGGCACCUCGAUGUCGGCUCAUCACAUCCUGGGGCUGAAGUCGGUCCCAAGGGUAUGGCUGUUCGCCAUUUAAAGUGGUACGCGAGCUGGGUUUAGAACGUCGUGAGACAGUUCGGUCCCUAUCUGGUGUGGGCGUUGGAUGAUUGAUGGGAGCUGCUCCUAGUACGAGAGGACCGGAGUGGACGAACCGCUGGUGUUCGGGUUGUCAUGCCAAUGGCAUUGCCCGGUAGCUAUGUUCGGAACGGAUAACCGCUGAAAGCAUCUAAGCGGGAAGCCGGCCCAAAGAUGAGUCAUCCCUGACCUUUAAGGUCUGGAAGGGUUGUUAUAGACGAUGACGUUGAUAGGCAGGGUGUGGAAGCGUUGUAAGGCGUUAAGCUAACCUGUACUAAUUGCCCGAGAGGCUUAACC
This 626-nucleotide ribosomal RNA is filed under the name Stygamoeba regulata. RNAcentral describes it as "partial Bacterial large subunit ribosomal RNA". It matches the Rfam family "Bacterial large subunit ribosomal RNA", at positions 2301 to 2925 of the family's 2925-position model. Lineage: Eukaryota; Discosea; Stygamoebida. The record is from RNAcentral.